RNAcentral lists this unclassified non-coding RNA (1154 nucleotides) under Hevea brasiliensis (rubber tree). The record is from RNAcentral. Lineage: Eukaryota; Viridiplantae; Streptophyta; Magnoliopsida; Malpighiales; Euphorbiaceae.
ACAUUAUUCAAUACAAUGCUCACAAAUAAUCGACUCUCAAUAAGUUCUCCCCCUAAACCAAACGAAUGCUUUUUCACUACACAUACAUAUGAUACAUUUCUAUCAAGAAUUACAACAUACAACAAUCAAUACUCAUGGGGACUACCCAUUUGCCUAAAUGAGACCAGUGUAUGUAUUAGAUGCUUGAACUGGCAUCCCCACGCCGUACUGGUGCACACCGACCGAAGCAUAGGCGUUACCAAAUGGAUUCAUCGACACCUGGUGAGGCUGCUGACCCAUCAUCAUCAUCUGCUGCUGUAGCAUGAGCGCUUGUUGCUGCUGUGCCAUAGUGGCCAUCUGCACAUGAUGAGGUGCAGCAACUGCAUUCGAGGCAUAGAAAGGGUCAUGCACCACUGGCUGCAUGUAUGGGCUCGAUGCAGGUGGCAUCUCCCAUGGAUUGUAGCUCGUGGGCUGGUUCGCUCUUCUGAUUGCAUCGUCAUAUAAACUGUCCAGCGUGAGCUUGUUCAACCCUCCAGCCAGUUUACUUGUUGCCACAGCGGUUUCAUUUGAGCUCGGGGCUGUUACGAGUGCUAAUUCCCAGCCUGUUGUUCCAUUCAGUGAACUAAAGCUAUCAACGGUAGCUGAUUGAGUAUCAACUGGAACAAUGGCCAGUGCCAAUGCAUUUCUGUGAUCUAGCUCGGAUGCAUCUGGGUUGGUAUCGUUUAACCCCAGUAAAUCAGGUUGCUCAACAAUAGGCGCAGGGGCUUCCUCUUUGACUGGUUCGGGUGGCGGAGAGGGUGGCUUUGGUACCUCUUCAACUUCUGGAGUUUCUUUAUAUUCUAUCGCCAAAACUACUUUUGGUUUAUCAUCAAUCGCCUGAUCUUUACGAACAAUCGAAGCUCGUGGAGCAUCUUUGACAUACUCCUCUAAUGCUGUGAGAAAAGAUGCAGGGGGCUGUUCAAUCUUUAUAAAUUUUUCUCCCCGUCCGAUAUCAAUGCUUUUACAUAUUUCAUAGAACUGUGAUAGUCUCUCUGCCUGUUGACCUGCUCUCCUGUAUAUCUCAAGUGCCCUAACAGCAUCGUGACGUUGCAUCUCAAAAAACUUGUCAACCAAAUUUGUUGUACCAUCGCUGAUAGCAUUAUAAAUCUUAAUACUCUCUCCCGCAACCAUUGUAA